This is a long non-coding RNA of Myotis brandtii (Brandt's bat), 455 nucleotides long. RefSeq lists it as uncharacterized. The transcript is spliced from 3 exons. The record is from RefSeq and is a predicted model, not a curated record. NCBI's taxonomy places the organism in Eukaryota, Metazoa, Chordata, Mammalia, Chiroptera, Vespertilionidae.
GAAGCUGCAUCCAAAGGAAAUGCUUCUGGGAUCCUCUCUGCCUCUCACCCUGGAUGAGCCAUUUGCCUGUUUGGAUCUCAGGCACCACAGAAUACCAAGUGGGAAGACACUCCAGCCUGGAGUAAGUUUGUAUCCCCAGAGGACCCCUGUGCCAGAGGAGAUCUCGGAGCAUCUCACCUUCAUUUAUAGGUGAGAAGAUGAAGCUUGGAACAUGGAUGGUGAGACCUGGAGGUAUAGCAGCCAUAUUGUGAUCAUAACGCAACAAGCAUGAGGGGGAAAGCAUAUAUGCUAUCGAUUAGGGCAAAAAAUAAAAAGACACUUGGUGUCAGACAGGAUCUCUGGGAUCUUGGGGCCCCUGAACCAAUCCUGAACUGCCUACCCAGACUUCUUACUAUGUAGGACAAGUAAAGCCACUAUUAUUAGUGUGGUUCUCUGCAAUUCAUAUACAUAUAUAA